Molecule: long non-coding RNA, 274 nt
Filed under: Helicoverpa zea (corn earworm)
Lineage: Eukaryota; Metazoa; Arthropoda; Insecta; Lepidoptera; Noctuidae
Description: uncharacterized LOC124633944, transcript variant X1
Source: RNAcentral
CUUAGAAUGCAGCACACGAGCAUUCUAAUGUUGGUGCUAUACCUUUUCAGCGUCCUCAAUAGCAGUGUCAACUUCUUCAGCUGCAACAAUAUUAAUAUACGUGGGUAUUCUAUCAACUAUGCCUAUCGAAAAUGUUUAUCAACGAGGAUUCGGCAAGAAUGUUCGAAGCCGAAUUAAUGAUUGAAAGUUACUCUACAUUAAUGAACUAUGUUAUUGUAUAAGUGUCGUUCAUGGCGGACAUUUGGACCGGAAUAAAUGAGUAAGAACUUAAAAA